Hippocampus comes (tiger tail seahorse) is the source of this 87-nucleotide long non-coding RNA. RefSeq lists it as uncharacterized. The transcript has 3 exons. The record is from RefSeq and is a predicted model, not a curated record. NCBI's taxonomy places the organism in Eukaryota, Metazoa, Chordata, Actinopteri, Syngnathiformes, Syngnathidae.
UUAACCCUGGAGAUAUUCAGGUAAUUGGUCGCUAUUUUACCAUGAAGCAUGUUAGGUGUUAUAUUUGGACGGUUUCUUUUUGUUUCA